GUGAGUGAAUGACUCCUCUGCUUCUUCCUGAAUCAGAGGUGAAAGUUAACUGCUCCCCAGUGGAUUUUUACUUUUGUCUUGAAGUGAGAACACUCGGUCUCACGAACAUCAGAUGGAAGUGUAUAAUUGCUUUGUUUGCGUCAGGGACGAGGCAGUUAUUCCACCCGAGGCAGUAAUUUCAGCUAAUAUUUUCAACAGAUUUCCUUCUGUUUGUAUGUGAGGUAAUUUUGGAGCGAGACGUGUGACUGCAGUCGCAAGACGUCACUAUGACCCGCUUGGAGGCGAUACGGCUACUGCUCGGCCCAUUCUUAUUACGUCGCAGUCUGAGAUCGACACUUCUCCACUGGCAGGACGGCGGCUAGCAGAACAAGCUACUGCUAACCACUGAGUGUUUUACUGCUCCACUGCGGCAGGAGAUUCCCACCGGGACUGGAGGUGGCACAGAGCAGAUGGAAGUCCAACCAGACAACCAGCAAACAGUGAGACACAAGGGCUACAAUCAGCACACAGCAACACAAAAAGCACCAGUAAACAGGAACAUUUGAGGAUGGACUCCACAGCCUCAUGGCACUCGGCCUGAGAGACGACUGAGUGAACAUCUUGUUGGCACUCUGGGGAGCGUGAAGCUGUGUGUGCACAUACAGCGCCGACAUGUUUCACUUGUUGUUUUCAGUGGGGAGGACCUUGAACUUCAGCUUGUUUUAUACAAAGUUAAAAAUAGACUGCCUUUCUCUUCCAGGGAAUUUGAUGCAAUUUCUUGGUGCUCACAGAGAAGCCAGCACAUUGUGCACAUCUACAACUCAAAAGAGUUCAAAAAGAGUUCAAAAGAGUUGCUUUGCUCAAGGAAUCUGUAUAACUCCAGCAUCACAUAUCCCAAAAUAUCACUCAUAUAUCCAGGGAUUCUAAAAACAUCCAAAAAUUAUGACUGGCUUCGAAAGCAGUUCACAAAAUCAUGUGGAUAUCUUCAUUCUUACAAUGAAAUUCUAAAGUACAUUCAAAUAAUUGACUGUCCUGUAAAUGUCAUGGUUGUAACUCAGCUG
Long non-coding RNA from Acanthopagrus latus (yellowfin seabream), 1040 nucleotides. RefSeq lists it as uncharacterized. NCBI's taxonomy places the organism in Eukaryota, Metazoa, Chordata, Actinopteri, Spariformes, Sparidae. The record is from RefSeq and is a predicted model, not a curated record. The transcript is spliced from 3 exons.